GAUGAACGCUGGCGGCGUGCCUAAUACAUGCGAGUCGAGCGAACAGACGAGGAGCUUGCUCCUCUGACGUUAGCGGCGGACGGAUGAGUAACACGUGGAUAACCUACCUAUAAGACUGGGAUAACUUCGGGAAACCGGAGCUAAUACCGGAUAAUAUAUUGAACCGCAUGGUUCAAUAGUGAAAGACGGUUUUGCUGUCACUUAUAGAUGGAUCCGCGCCGCAUUAGCUAGUUGGUAAGGUAACGGCUUACCGAGGCAACGAUGCGUAGCCGACCUGAGAGGGUGAUCGGCCACACUGGAACUGAGACACGGUCCAGACUCCUACGGGAGGCAGCAGUAGGGAAUCUUCCGCAAUGGGCGAAAGCUUGACGGAGCAACGCCGCGUGAGUGAUGAAGGUCUUCGGAUCGUAAAACUCUGUUAUUAGGGAAGAACAAAUGUGUAAGUAACUAUGCACGUCUUGACGGUACCUAAUCAGAAAGCCACGGCUAACUACGUG
Molecule: ribosomal RNA, 497 nt
Filed under: uncultured bacterium
Lineage: Bacteria
Description: partial 16S ribosomal RNA
Rfam family: Bacterial small subunit ribosomal RNA
Source: RNAcentral